Molecule: ribosomal RNA, 495 nt
Filed under: uncultured bacterium
Lineage: Bacteria
Description: partial 16S ribosomal RNA
Rfam family: Bacterial small subunit ribosomal RNA
Source: RNAcentral
GACGAACGCUGGCGGCGUGCCUAAUACAUGCAAGUAGAACGCUGAAGGAGGAGCUUGCUCUUCUGGAUGAGUUGCGAACGGGUGAGUAACGCGUAGGUAACCUGCCUGGUAGCGGGGGAUAACUAUUGGAAACGAUAGCUAAUACCGCAUAACAGUAGAUGUUGCAUGACAUUUACUUAAAAGGUGCAAUUGCAUCACUACCAGAUGGACCUGCGUUGUAUUAGCUAGUUGGUUGGGUAACGGCUCACCAAGGCGACGAUACAUAGCCGACCUGAGAGGGUGAUCGGCCACACUGGGACUGAGACACGGCCCAGACUGCUACGGGAGGCAGCAGUAGGGAAUCGUAGGCAAUGGACGGAAGUCUGACCGAGCAACGCCGCGUGAGGGAAGAAGGUUUUCGGAUCGUAAAGCUCGGUUGUAAGAGAAGAACGAGUGUGAGAGUGGAAAGUUCACACUGUGACGGUAUCUUACCAGAAAGGGACGGCUAACUACGUG